UACGUAGGGUGCAGGCGUUAAUCGGAAUUACUGGGCGUAAAGCGUGCGCAGGCGGUUUGCUAAGACAGGUGUGUAAUCCCCGGGCUUAACCUGGGAACUGCGCUUGUAACUGGCAAGCUAGAGUGUGGCAGAGGGGGGUGGAAUUCCACGUGUAGCAGUGAAAUGCGUAGAGAUGUGGAGGAACACCAGUGGCGAAGGCGACUCUUUGGCCUGUAACUGACACUGAGGCGCGAAAGCGUGGGGAGCAAACAGG
This 253-nucleotide ribosomal RNA is filed under the name uncultured bacterium. RNAcentral describes it as "partial 16S ribosomal RNA". It matches the Rfam family "Bacterial small subunit ribosomal RNA", at positions 524 to 776 of the family's 1533-position model. The record is from RNAcentral.